AUCUUGCGCAAUGGGCGAAAGCCUGACGCUGCCAUGCCGCGUGAAUGUUGAAGGUCUUAGGAUUGUAAAAUUCUUUCUCCGGGGACGAUAAUGACGGAACCCGGAGAAGAAGCCCCGGCUAACUUCCUGCCAGCUGACUCGGUAAUACGAAGGGUGCUAGCGUUGCGCGGAAUUACGGGGCGUAAAGGGCGCGUAGGCGGACAUUUAAGUAAGGGGUGAAAUCCCAGAGCUCAACUCUGGAACUGCCUUUGAUACUGGGUGUCUUGAGUGUGAGAGAGGUAUGUGGAACUCCGAGUGUAGAGGUGAAAUUCGUAGAUAUUCAGAAGAACACCAGUGGCGAAGGCGACAUACUGGCUCAUUACUGACGCUGAGGCGCGAAAGCGUGGGGAGCAAACAG
Molecule: ribosomal RNA, 397 nt
Filed under: uncultured bacterium
Lineage: Bacteria
Description: partial 16S ribosomal RNA
Rfam family: Bacterial small subunit ribosomal RNA
Source: RNAcentral